RNAcentral lists this transfer RNA (64 nucleotides) under Hydrothassa glabra. RNAcentral describes it as "tRNA-Glu". Lineage: Eukaryota; Metazoa; Arthropoda; Insecta; Coleoptera; Chrysomelidae. The record is from RNAcentral.
AUUUAUAUAGUUUAAACAAAACAUUACCGUUUCAUUGUAAAAUUAGAAUUUUUUCUUAUAAAUA